UACGUAGGUGGCAAGCGUUGUCCGGAAUUACUGGGUGUAAAGGGAGCGCAGGCGGGAAGCCAAGUCAGCUGUGAAAACUACGGGCUUAACUUGUAGACUGCAGUUGAAACUGGUUUUCUUGAGUGAAGUAGAGGUUGGCGGAAUUCCGAGUGUAGCGGUGAAAUGCGUAGAUAUUCGGAGGAACACCAGUGGCGAAGGCGGCCUACUGGACGGUGACUGACGCUGAGGCUCGAAAGCGUGGGGAGCAAACAGG
RNAcentral lists this ribosomal RNA (253 nucleotides) under uncultured bacterium. Its description in RNAcentral is "partial 16S ribosomal RNA". It matches the Rfam family "Bacterial small subunit ribosomal RNA", at positions 524 to 776 of the family's 1533-position model. The record is from RNAcentral.